AUGGGGCCUCCACCCCUCCACACCUUGGCACCGCCACCGGAGCGGCAGUCUUCUUCACGGGCAAGGGAGCAGCAGCUCCAGGUCCAGGCUGAUGCGAUGAGGCUGCAGGUGGCCAAUAUUCUGAACAACCCUUUCUCGCUCGUCCGGUCGGGCCCGGCGAACCCAGCGCCUCAGCGGCAGUCUUCUUCACCAGGAUGCUACAGCAAUAUCUUCACCGGCAAAGGGCCCUUGUUCAGCAGCGCCGGUGCACGUGCACCCCAGGGUCACGGCAGUGCUGCCAUUGAUCAGCAGCGCCAGCUCGACCUCCUCCGCGGCCAGCGGCAGCCUUCUUCUUCACAGGCAAGGGCACCAGGAUGCUCUUCUUGCGGAGCGCGCGCCACGCGGGUUGCUCUCAAGAUGCCCUUUUGCGAGGCUUGCUUCAGGGAUACAUUCAUGGCGAACGCGCCUCCUCAGCACGCGCGGAUCGGCUCCAAGCUUCCGAGUCCAGUCCCCAGCUAUAACUACGCGCAGACCGGCAACGCGCGUCCGCAGCACACGCUGGCCGGCAAUGUGUCUUCGAGUCCAGUUCCCGCUCCCAGCAACGCCGGCGCGCCUCAGGGUCAGCAGCAGUACCGGGAUUCGGUGGUGGAGCUGCUGGCGGCGACCGAGCCUUCUCCUCCGGCGGGUUCUCAGCGUGCCGCCUAUUCAAGGUGCGAGGCUUGCCGCCUCUCCGGCGAUAAGGCGUGCAUGUUUUGCCACAACCCCGGCCCACCGCCGCCACCGCCAGGGCAGAGCUAG
This 777-nucleotide ribosomal RNA is filed under the name Triticum aestivum (bread wheat). RNAcentral describes it as "partial small subunit ribosomal RNA". Lineage: Eukaryota; Viridiplantae; Streptophyta; Magnoliopsida; Poales; Poaceae. The record is from RNAcentral.